GCAUAGCUGACGAGUCCCAAACAGGAUGAAACAGCUUUCCAGUGC
This is a non-coding RNA of Echinostoma caproni, 45 nucleotides long. The record is from Rfam. Lineage: Eukaryota; Metazoa; Platyhelminthes; Trematoda; Plagiorchiida; Echinostomatidae.